UUUUCCUUAUCAAGUGUGAGCCAGAUCUAAUUGUUUGUUCUUUUAACCAGUUAGAUUAAUAUUGGACGUUAUAUCUUAAAAUCUAAGGACAUAACUUCUACAACCCUAUGUAGACAGGAAUAGGCUUAAUACAGGUGUGGAAAAUUGGAUUCUCUGAUAUGAAUAUGGAGUAAUGUACUAUAUUGAGUCAUUUUACCUGAAUCUAUCAAUAUGGUGAUCAUUCAAAACAACCUCUUUGGCCCUUAUUUUUUCAGUGCUAGGCUAAAUUGGUUUUUUGUUAAUAGAUAGAAUGGUAGUUUACUAGCCAUAGCUGAUUGUAACUGAUUCUCAAAGUAAUUUGUUAAAGAAACAUGGUGCAGCUGCAAAUUGGAGAAUGUACUUGCUCGAACUACUGCUAAUAUAAUCUUCCGAGCACUAUAAUAAGUCAGAUGAAAGCAAAGUCACAUAAGAAGUCUGAAGCUAAGGCGCAUCACUGAUUAGUUGGUUUGCUCGUCUCUGGAUGCAAUAAAGAGCCUUGGAUAUCAUUUAAAUCAUCUUGCAUAGAUGGUUCUUGAUUUAGAAUACUGUGAACAUUUUGAAUUUGUUUAUCUUCAUAAUCAUUAGAAUGGCAGGCGUUUUUCCAUUUUUGAGAAAUAGAAAAAGUAGUAAUUCAUAAUUUUAUUAUAUGGAAGAAUCAAUCAUGUGGCAUGUGGUCAAGAUCCUUUAUUUCUUCUUCUCUAUAGAAAAUAACUGCAUGAGAUGAGUAAUGCCUAAAA
This is a non-coding RNA of Jatropha curcas, 755 nucleotides long. The record is from RefSeq and is a predicted model, not a curated record. Lineage: Eukaryota; Viridiplantae; Streptophyta; Magnoliopsida; Malpighiales; Euphorbiaceae.